AUGCACGCAAGUGUGAUAGGGGGAUACUCAGUGCUUACGCUUAUGGUGUAGGCUUUUGUCGAUCGUAAAUAGAUCGGCGAAUAAGUGGUGGGUAAGACUGGUGCCAGCCGCCGCGGUAACCCCAGCGCCACAAGUGGUUAUCACGAUUAUUGGGCCUAAAGCGUUCGUAGCUGGUUUGGUAAAUCUCUUGUGAAAUUGUUCGGCUUAACCGGACAGCGUGCAGGAGACACUGCCAGACUCGAGACCGGGAGGGGUUAGAAGUAUUCCAUGGGGACUGGUAAAAUGGGAUAAUCCAUGGAAGACUACCGAUGGCGAAGGCAUCUAACCAGAACGGAUCUGACAGUGAGGAACGAAAGCCAGGGGAGCGAACCGGAUUAGAUACCCGCGUAGUCC
RNAcentral lists this ribosomal RNA (393 nucleotides) under uncultured archaeon. RNAcentral's name for it is "bacterial SSU rRNA". It matches the Rfam family "Archaeal small subunit ribosomal RNA", at positions 355 to 747 of the family's 1478-position model. The record is from RNAcentral.